AAGGGCACCACAAGAACGCGUGGAGCAUGUGGCUUAAUUUGACUCAACGCGGGAAAUCUUACCAGGUCCAGACAUAUUGAGGAUUGACAGGCGAUAGUUUAUUAUAUAAUAAUAAGCAUAAAAAUGAUAGUCCUUUCAUGAUUAUAUGAUAGGUGGUGCAUGGCCGUUCUUAGUUCGUGGAGUGAUUUGUCUGCUUAAUUGCGUUUCAGUAAAAUAAAAUAUAUUUAAUAUAUAAUAAUAUUUUAGUUCUGCCUUUAUGGAUUUAAAGUGAACAUAUUAUUAUUAUUAAUAUAUAAUAAAUGAAUGCAACGAACGUGACCGUAACCUUUUAUUGCUAUAAUAAUUAUUAAUAUAGCUUAAAAUUAAAGGGACCGCUGUCAUUAUUAUAUGUGUUAAAAUAGAGUAAGAUUACGGCAAUAACAGGUCUGUGAUGCCCUCAGAUGUUCUGGGCUGCACACGUGCUACAAUAAUUACAUUAAUAAGUAUAUACAUUAUAUUUAUUAUAUAAAUUAAACCUAUUUCGAAAGUAAAUGGGCAAUCAUUUAAAAAUCGUGAUUAUUAUAAUACACAUAUUUAAUUUAAGGUGGGGAUAGUGUAUUGUUAAUUAUUACACUUGGCCUUAACUAGGAAUGCCUUGUACUCUUCUUUGGUUUAACAUACCAAGAGGAAUACGUCCCUGCCCUUUGUACACACCGCCCGUCGCUCUUACCGAUGAAUUAUAUUAUAAAUCUAAGGGACAAUAAUUAAUAUAAUUUAUGAAACUUAUAUACAUAAUGUGAUUUAAAGGAAAGAGAAGUCGUAACAAGGCAUCAGUAGGUGAACCU
RNAcentral lists this ribosomal RNA (824 nucleotides) under Archaias angulatus. Its description in RNAcentral is "bacterial SSU rRNA". It matches the Rfam family "Eukaryotic small subunit ribosomal RNA", at positions 1160 to 1816 of the family's 1831-position model. The record is from RNAcentral. Lineage: Eukaryota; Foraminifera; Miliolida; Soritidae.